UAUACGGAAAUUCGGUUUUUUUACCCGUCCGCCAAAGUAAUCGGAAUGGUUAACGCGAUAUUUGCAUACUUCAGUGGUAGUGUUGAAAUUGCAAAAUACUCAAAAAUUAUAAAAUACCCAAUCUAAUAUUUUUCAACAGUGGCGUCUUUAGCAAAUGUUAUAAAAAAUGCGAGUUUUGACAGCUCUCUCGAAUCAAAGAGUGUCGUAUCAACCCAGCGGGAUAAUGGUUCACCGCUUAUAUUUUUCUUUGAAGAAUGCUUUGAAGAAAAUUCUAUGUAGAAUUCUUCGAUACCAGUAAAGAAAUAAAAGAAUGUUCUCGAAAAGGCACGUGAGAAGACUAAUUAAAAAUGAAGAAAGUGAAUUUUACGGAAUGGCUGAAAACACAAAUGUUGAAACUGAUUCUUAAGAGGAAAGCACUUUAAUGCGUUACUAUUUGAAUGUGUGAAAGUAGAAGGCUUUACCGAAUCGGACUAUGCUCACCAAAUGCAAAAAAGCAUUAGACUCGCCAAAGGCCGUUUUUUAAAAGUCUCGUUGCUUGCAAAAAACGAAAAGAGACUCAGCCACAAAAUUAAAAGAAAAC
This is a long non-coding RNA of Bactrocera tryoni, 580 nucleotides long. RefSeq lists it as uncharacterized. The transcript is spliced from 3 exons. Lineage: Eukaryota; Metazoa; Arthropoda; Insecta; Diptera; Tephritidae. The record is from RefSeq and is a predicted model, not a curated record.